RNAcentral lists this RNase P RNA (346 nucleotides) under Rubrivivax sp. RNAcentral describes it as "RNase P RNA component class A". It matches the Rfam family "Bacterial RNase P class A". Rfam says of the family: Ribonuclease P (RNase P) is a ubiquitous endoribonuclease, found in archaea, bacteria and eukarya as well as chloroplasts and mitochondria. Its best characterised activity is the generation of mature 5'-ends of tRNAs by cleaving the 5'-leader elements of precursor-tRNAs. Lineage: Bacteria; Pseudomonadati; Pseudomonadota; Betaproteobacteria; Burkholderiales; Sphaerotilaceae. The record is from RNAcentral.
GAAGCAGGCCAGACCGCCGCUGGUGCGAGCGGGGAAACCCGGCACUGGAGGAAGGUCCGGACUGCACAGAGCACCGUAGCAGCUAACGGCUGUCCACCGCGAGGUGAGGAUCAGAGCAACAGAGACGAGUCAGGGUUGGCCCCGCAAGGGUGUCCUGCCCUGGGUGAAACGGGCAAUCUCUACGGGCAGCAACACCAAAUAGGCCGGCAUCGAUGUGGCUCGCGGAGCCGGCGGGUAGGUGGCACCGAGCCGGGAGGCGACUCCCGGCCCAGAUGAAUGGCGGUCACGGCGCGGCUUCGCAAGGAGCCGUGCUGCACAGAAUCCGGCCUAUCGGCCUGCUUCACAC